RNAcentral lists this ribosomal RNA (253 nucleotides) under uncultured bacterium. RNAcentral's name for it is "partial 16S ribosomal RNA". It matches the Rfam family "Bacterial small subunit ribosomal RNA", at positions 524 to 776 of the family's 1533-position model. The record is from RNAcentral.
UACAGAGGUCUCAAGCGUUGUUCGGAUUCAUUGGGCGUAAAGGGUGCGUAGGUGGCGGGGUAAGUCGGGUGUGAAAUCUCGGGGCUUAACUCCGAAACUGCAUUCGAUACUACCGUGCUUGAGGACUGGAGAGGAGACUGGAAUUUACGGUGUAGCGGUGAAAUGCGUAGAUAUCGGGAGGAACACCAGUGGCGAAGGCGACUUCCUGGCCUGUUCUUGACGCUGAGGCGCGAAAGCUAGGGGAGCAAACGGG